RNAcentral lists this ribosomal RNA (380 nucleotides) under uncultured bacterium. Its description in RNAcentral is "bacterial SSU rRNA". It matches the Rfam family "Bacterial small subunit ribosomal RNA", at positions 30 to 410 of the family's 1533-position model. The record is from RNAcentral.
AUUGAACGCUGGCGGCAUGCCUUACACAUGCAAGUCGAACGGCAGCGGACCUUCGGGUGCCGGCGAGUGGCGAACGGGUGAGUAAUAUAUCGGAACGUACCUUUCAGUGGGGGAUAACGUAGCGAAAGUUACGCUAAUACCGCAUAUUCUGUGAGCAGGAAAGCAGGGGAUCGCAAGACCUUGCGCUGAUUGAGCGGCCGAUAUCAGAUUAGCUAGUUGGUGAGGUAAAGGCUCACCAAAGGCGACGAUCUGUAGCGGGUCUGAGAGGAUGAUCCGCCACACUGGAACUGAGACACGGUCCAGACUCCUACGGGAGGCAGCAGUGGGGAAUUUUGGACAAUAGGGCGCAAGCCUGAUCCAGCCAUGCCGCGUGAGUGAAG